This 72-nucleotide transfer RNA is filed under the name Bos taurus (domestic cattle). It matches the Rfam family "tRNA". Rfam says of the family: Transfer RNA (tRNA) molecules are approximately 80 nucleotides in length. Lineage: Eukaryota; Metazoa; Chordata; Mammalia; Artiodactyla; Bovidae. RNAcentral also lists the same sequence under 1 other name. The record is from Rfam by way of RNAcentral.
UCCCUGGGGGCUCAGAGGUUAAAGUAUCUGCCUCCAAUGCAGGAGACCCGGGUUCGAUCCCUGGGUCGGGAA